CCUCCUCGGGGAUUGUGACCUUGUCGUGGUGGGGAGGCUGAGUAUGUGAAAACUUUGUGGGACAAAAAUUUUACUGUUCAAUAAAUACUUAUCACAGAAACUAGCAACAAUC
RNAcentral lists this non-coding RNA (112 nucleotides) under Drosophila willistoni. Lineage: Eukaryota; Metazoa; Arthropoda; Insecta; Diptera; Drosophilidae. The record is from RNAcentral.